GACGAACGCUGGCGGCGUGCCUAAUACAUGCAAGUUGAGCGCUGAAGGUUGGUCCUUGUACCAACUGGAUGAGCAGCGAACGGGUGAGUAACGCGUGGGGAAUCUGCCUUUGAGCGGGGGACAACAUUUGGAAACGAAUGCUAAUACCGCAUAAAAACUUUAAACACAAGUUUUAAGUUUGAAAGAUGCAAUUGCAUCACUCAAAGAUGAUCCCGCGUUGUAUUAGCUAGUUGGUGAGGUAAAGGCUCACCAAGGCGAUGAUACAUAGCCGACCUGAGAGGGUGAUCGGCCACAUUGGGACUGAGACACGGCCCAAACUCCUCCGGGAGGCAGCAGUAGGGAAUCUUCGGCAAUGGACGAAAGUCUGACCGAGCAACGCCGCGUGAGUGAAGAAGGUUUUCGGAUCGUAAAACUCUGUUGGUAGAGAAGAACGUUGGUGAGAGUGGAAAGCUCAUCAAGUGACGGUAACUACCCAGAAAGGGACGGCUAACUACGUG
This 497-nucleotide ribosomal RNA is filed under the name uncultured bacterium. RNAcentral's name for it is "partial 16S ribosomal RNA". It matches the Rfam family "Bacterial small subunit ribosomal RNA", at positions 28 to 507 of the family's 1533-position model. The record is from RNAcentral.